RNAcentral lists this long non-coding RNA (202 nucleotides) under Elaeis guineensis (African oil palm). Its description in RNAcentral is "long non-coding RNA (EGUI_LNC064674)". Lineage: Eukaryota; Viridiplantae; Streptophyta; Magnoliopsida; Arecales; Arecaceae. The record is from RNAcentral.
AAGUACGUAUCUGGGGGUCCCUUUUUAUAGAUGGAGGGCGUAACUGAUUAACAGUGACGUCUGUAACCGCCUGGUAAUGGGCUAUUCAGAGCCGUGCAGAGUUUGUUACGGAGAGUAGUGGCGUCAGGGGUCGUUCAGGGCCACGUGGAGUUUGUUACAGAGAGUGGAGUGGUGUCCAUUGUCAUGACUUGUCAGAGAGUGG